This is a long non-coding RNA of Pongo pygmaeus (Bornean orangutan), 1631 nucleotides long. RefSeq lists it as uncharacterized. Lineage: Eukaryota; Metazoa; Chordata; Mammalia; Primates; Hominidae. The record is from RefSeq and is a predicted model, not a curated record. The transcript has 7 exons.
AUUGUCCCAACAAGGCUGCACAAGAAACAAUCAGGAAACCUCAGCAGCAUAAAACUAUGAGAAAACUGGGUCUGAGAAUCCAGAUGUCCUGAGUGAGUAAAGGGAAAAUUUUCACUUCUUCCUGUGGAAGCCUGUCACCCUCCAGCUCCAUGCUAGGCUGAGGAAGUCUGCGUUCUUCUCUCACGGAGCUGGAGAACUUUUCAAGUGAUUGGCCUAAGAACUGGCAGCAGACGCGAUCUGGACCAAUCAGAAUCUUACAUUGAGAUGGUGGGCCUUGCUAUGUUGCUCAGGCUGGUCUUGAACUCCUGACCUCAAGUGAUCCUCCUGCCUCAGCUUCCUUGAGUAACUGGAAUUACAGGGCUCAUUCCAGUGGUCUAGGCUGCAGCUCCUGGUUGGAGUCACAUCCAGCCAUGCUUUCUGUGCCCUGAUCAGCUGGAUUAGAUUUGAAGAUUCUCAGAAUUUCAGAAUUGAGAUGCAGAGAUUCUCCGUUCAGAAGCUCAGAAUUCCCAGAUUCUCAGAAUCUCCAAAAGAGUCUCCUCCUGUUGCCGAGUCUGGAGCACAGUGGCAAGAUCUCAGCUCACUGCAACCUCUGCCUCCUGGGUUCAAAUGAUUCUCCUGCCUCAGCCUCCUGAGUAGCUGGGAUUACAGGCACGUGCCACUAUGCCUGGCUAAUUUUUGUAUUUUUACUAGAGAUGGGGUUGCACUGUGUUGGCCAGGCAGGUCUCGAACUCCUGACCUCAUGAUCUGCCCGCCUUGGUCUCCCAAAGUGCUGGGAUUACAAGCGUGAGCCACCGUGCCCGGCCAAGACUGUUAUUUUAUCUGCAGCUACACGAAGAAACAAUUGCAGCUCUAGCACUCAGCUGGAUUAAUCACAGAGUCCAAAAAACUAUUAUGCUGCUGGAGAGACCACAAGGACAAAAGCGGAGACUAUUUGAAAAACAAAGUCAUGGACUCCUACGGCUGGAGAGGACCCAGAGCCUCCCCCAACCUUCCUCUCCUCCCCUCUGCCUGCUGCCGGAUCGCACCUCACCCGCCCAGGAAAACGGGCCUCUUUGCUUUUUGAAGAACUCCAGAGGAGAGCCCCUGAUCUCCCUUGAUAACUUAUCCCAAGUCUGAUAUCCUCAUUGGCAGAGAUUAUUUUCCAGCUUAAAUCACUCGUGUGGAAGCCGAAGCUCAUUUCCUUUUGUUCUGUCCUCGCUGGAGAUGGUGAACAGCUGGUCUCCAUUCUCGGAGGAAUAUCUCUUUAAACUUUGCAGGCCAUUGUUAAGUGGCCUCUAGGCUUUCUCUUCUUCCGACUAAGAAUCAUAGCUUCUUUUCCCCAUUCCUCAUGGGUCCUAUUUUCCAGCCCCUCUCACAUCUUUGUUCUUUGAAUGCGCUCAGGUUUUUCUAAGAUAUUCCCCUUUGGAAGAUGUUUGAAGGAAAACAACAGAAGGGUCUUUAGAUGUACUAAGUACUGGCAGUCCCUCUCACCUUACCACAAGCCUCACUGUUUCCACUGGUUGAGUGGCUUCUGGGGCCUUGCCUUCCUGGGGCCAGGCUGUGCGCGAGGACCGAGCAGCUGGUCCUGUGUUGAGCUCAUUGGCUUGACCACAGGCCAGUGCUGACCCAAAGAGCAAGAGGCCCCAGCACAG